AUUGAACGCUGGCGGCAGGCCUAACACAUGCAAGUCGAACGGUAACAGGAAGAUUCUUGCUUCUUUGCUGAGGAGUGGCGGGCGUGAGAGUAAUGUCUGUGAAACUGCCUGAGGGAGGGGGAUAACUACUGGAAACGGUAGCUACUACCGCAUAGCGUCGCAAAACCAAAGAGCUGGGCACUCGGGCCUCUUGCCUUCGGAUGGGCCCAGAUGGGUUUAGCUAGUAGGUGGGGUAACGGCUCACCUAGGCGAGGAUCCCUACUGGGUCUGAGAUGAUGACCCGCCCACCUGGAACUGAGGCAAGGUCCCGACUCCUACGGGAGGGAGCCGUGGGGAAUAUUGCACAAAGGGCGGAAGCCUGAUGCAGCCAUGCCGGGUGUAGGGAGAAGGCCCUCGGGUUGUAAAGUACUUUUAGGGGGGAAGAAGGGAGUGAAGUUAAUACCUUUGCUGAUUGACGUUACCCGAAGAAGUAGCCCCGGGUAAAUCCGUU
RNAcentral lists this ribosomal RNA (490 nucleotides) under uncultured bacterium. RNAcentral describes it as "partial 16S ribosomal RNA". It matches the Rfam family "Bacterial small subunit ribosomal RNA", at positions 30 to 507 of the family's 1533-position model. The record is from RNAcentral.